This 636-nucleotide long non-coding RNA is filed under the name Marmota monax (woodchuck). Lineage: Eukaryota; Metazoa; Chordata; Mammalia; Rodentia; Sciuridae. The record is from RNAcentral.
CCUGCAGGCAGUACUGUGAUAGGUGCCCCCAAUCUUUUCCGCUAAACCCUGGUGGCAGAGCCUGGAGAGGAGGCGCCGCUUUGGGAAUGAGCUGUGAGGGGCGGGUGGCUCUUGGCACCAGAAGUGGCUGGGCCGGCUUCACACCGCCUGCCCUGACACGAGGCAGCCCUGUCGCUGCCAGCAGGGGCCCCUCCAUGAGGCCCAUCUCCCAGAGUGUCAUCCACGCCCUGCACAAACCACAGAGCCGUGGCAGCCAAGGCCCUUACCCUCUCAGGUAUUGUCCCCUUUGAUAGGCUGUGAAAGGAAAGUCCCAGCCUUGGUGGCACACCUCCUGAGACGGGGCAGUCACCACCUCCAUCCCCUGCACAAUGAGAGAUACAGAGGGAAGCAUGUUUGUCCCACCCUCUGGAGCUCUGGGGCAUUCUGCUGAGCCCCUGGUACCAAGGUCACUACAGGGAGUCCUAUCUGCCCAGGGAAGUCCAUUUAAUUCAAGAAGCACUUUUUUUUUUUUUUUUUUUUUGUACAAGGAAUGGAACCCAGAGCCCUCAAACACUGAGCCACAUCCCCAGCACUUUUUAUUUUUUAUUUUGAGACAGGGUCUGCUAAGUUGCUGAGGCUAAAUUUGAACUUGCAAUC